This 497-nucleotide ribosomal RNA is filed under the name uncultured bacterium. RNAcentral's name for it is "partial 16S ribosomal RNA". It matches the Rfam family "Bacterial small subunit ribosomal RNA", at positions 28 to 507 of the family's 1533-position model. The record is from RNAcentral.
GAUGAACGCUGGCGGCGUGCCUAAUACAUGCAAGUCGAGCGAACGGACGAGAAGCUUGCUUCUCUGAUGUUAGCGGCGGACGGGUGAGUAACACGUGGAUAACCUACCUAUAAUACGGGGAUAACUUCGGGAAACCGGAGCUAAUACCGGAUAAUAUUUUGAACCGCAUUGUUCAAAAGUGAAAGACGGUCUUGCUGUCACUUAUAGAUGGAUCCGCGCUGCAUUAGCUAGUUGGUAAGGUAACGGCUUACCAAGGCAACGAUGCAUAGCCGACCUGAGAGGGUGAUCGGCCACACUGGAGCUGAGACACGGUCCAGACUACUACGGGAGGCAGCAGUAGGGAAUCUUCCGCAGUGGGCGAGAGCCUGACGGAGCAACGCCGCGUGAGUGAUGGAGGUCUUCGGAUCGUAAAACUCUGUUAUUAGGGAAGAACAUAUGUGUAAGUAAAUGUGCACAUCUUGACGGUACUUAAUCAGAAAGCCACGGCUAACUACGUG